GACGAACGCUGGCGGCGUGCUUAACACAUGCAAGUCGAACGAAGAGCGAUGGAAGCUUGCUUCUAUCAAUCUUAGUGGCGAACGGGUGAGUAACGCGUAAUCAACCUGCCCUUCAGAGGGGGACAACAGUUGGAAACGACUGCUAAUACCGCAUACGAUCUAAUCUCGGCAUCGAGGAUAGAUGAAAGGUGGCCUCUACAUGUAAGCUAUCACUGAAGGAGGGGAUUGCGUCUGAUUAGCUAGUUGGAGGGGUAACGGCCCACCAAGGCGAUGAUCAGUAGCCGGUCUGAGAGGAUGAGCGGCCACAUUGGGACUGAGACACGGCCCAGACUCCUACGGGAGGCAGCAGUGGGGAAUCUUCCGCAAUGGACGAAAGUCUGACGGAGCAACGCCGCGUGAGUGAUGACGGCCUUCGGGUUGUAAAGCUCUGUUAAUCGGGACGAAAGGCCUUCUUGCGAACAGUUAGAAGGAUUGACGGUACCGGAAGAGAAAGCCACGGCUAACUACGUG
RNAcentral lists this ribosomal RNA (510 nucleotides) under uncultured bacterium. Its description in RNAcentral is "partial 16S ribosomal RNA". It matches the Rfam family "Bacterial small subunit ribosomal RNA", at positions 28 to 507 of the family's 1533-position model. The record is from RNAcentral.